Long non-coding RNA from Caretta caretta (loggerhead turtle), 306 nucleotides. RefSeq lists it as uncharacterized. The record is from RefSeq and is a predicted model, not a curated record. NCBI's taxonomy places the organism in Eukaryota, Metazoa, Chordata, Testudines, Cheloniidae.
CAAUAGGGAAGUGGGGACCAUAAUGACAGAACAAUAAAGAAAUGAGGAGUUCACAACCACAGCAAUUGAUAAGUGAUUUCUUGCUAGACAGAAUGCUAUCAAGAGGCCUCACACGCCACUCCUCAAAAGUGGAGCUAGAACAAUGGGAUCCUGGUUCAUGCCUGGGGCUCCCAGAUGCUACGGUCCUCUACCUCAUAGAGCCUCAGGUGCCAGGACGGAUGCCCAGGGCUGGACUCCUGCUGCUGCCCCUUCUCCUCUGCUUUGGGCCAGAGACCGCUGGGAGCAUUGACCUGGCCGCGCUCAGAG